ACAUCCUUGGUGGCCUAAACAAUGGCGUAAAAGUGCUGAUGAGUGGCUUAGAUUACGAACGCGUAGUGCUCUCAGGC
Molecule: transfer RNA, 77 nt
Filed under: Shewanella putrefaciens
Lineage: Bacteria; Pseudomonadati; Pseudomonadota; Gammaproteobacteria; Alteromonadales; Shewanellaceae
Description: tRNA-Ile
Source: RNAcentral